GGGAAGAUGCCGGAGUGGCCGAACGGGACGGAUUCGAAAUCCGUUGUGUUAGCGAUAGCACCUAGGGUUCGAAUCCCUAUCUUCCCG
RNAcentral lists this transfer RNA (87 nucleotides) under Pseudomonas guineae. It matches the Rfam family "tRNA". From Rfam's summary of the family: Transfer RNA (tRNA) molecules are approximately 80 nucleotides in length. The record is from Rfam by way of RNAcentral. Lineage: Bacteria; Pseudomonadati; Pseudomonadota; Gammaproteobacteria; Pseudomonadales; Pseudomonadaceae.